UACGUAGGGUGCAAGCGUUGUCCGGAAUUAUUGGGCGUAAGGAGCUCGUAGGCGGUCUGUCGCGUCGGCUGUGAAAACUCGGGGCUCAACCCCGAGCCUGCAGUCGAUACGGGCAGACUAGAGUCCGGCAGGGGAGACUGGAAUUCCUGGUGUAGCGGUGAAAUGCGCAGAUAUCAGGAGGAACACCGGUGGCGAAGGCGGGUCUCUGGGCAACAACUGACGCUGAGGAGCGAAAGCGUGGGGAGCGAACAGG
This 253-nucleotide ribosomal RNA is filed under the name uncultured bacterium. RNAcentral's name for it is "partial 16S ribosomal RNA". It matches the Rfam family "Bacterial small subunit ribosomal RNA", at positions 524 to 776 of the family's 1533-position model. The record is from RNAcentral.